RNAcentral lists this ribosomal RNA (405 nucleotides) under uncultured Roseobacter sp. RNAcentral describes it as "bacterial SSU rRNA". It matches the Rfam family "Bacterial small subunit ribosomal RNA", at positions 29 to 479 of the family's 1533-position model. The record is from RNAcentral. Lineage: Bacteria; Pseudomonadati; Pseudomonadota; Alphaproteobacteria; Rhodobacterales; Roseobacteraceae.
AACGAACGCUGGCGGCAGGCUUAACACAUGCAAGUCGAGCGCACUCUUCGGAGUGAGCGGCGGACGGGUUAGUAACGCGUGGGAAUGUACCCAGAUCUAAGGAAUAGCCUCGGGAAACUGAGAGUAAUACCUUAUACGCCCUUCGGGGGAAAGAUUUAUCGGAUUUGGAUCAGCCCGCGUUAGAUUAGAUAGUUGGUGGGGUAAUGGCCUACCAAGUCUACGAUCUAUAGCUGGUUUUAGAGGAUGAUCAGCAACACUGGGACUGAGACACGGCCCAGACUCCUACGGGAGGCAGCAGUGGGGAAUCUUGGACAAUGGGCGAAAGCCUGAUCCAGCCAUGCCGCGUGAGUGAUGAAGGCCUUAGGGUCGUAAAGCUCUUUCGCCAGGGAUGAUAAUGACAGUACC